Ailuropoda melanoleuca (giant panda) is the source of this 2827-nucleotide long non-coding RNA. RefSeq lists it as uncharacterized. NCBI's taxonomy places the organism in Eukaryota, Metazoa, Chordata, Mammalia, Carnivora, Ursidae. The record is from RefSeq and is a predicted model, not a curated record. The transcript is spliced from 2 exons.
AAGAAGCAGGCUCAUAGCGGAGGAGCCUGAUGUGGGGCUUGAUCCCACAACGCCGGGAUCACGCCCUGAGCCGAAGGCAGAUGCUUAACGACUGAGCCACCCAGGCGCCCCGAGUUUUGUAGGCAUUUUGAACUCUCUUGGUUUCUACUCUCUAGUUAAUGUCAGAAACGUAUUUAUAGUGGAGUACAUGUUUUAUCAUGUCAACGUCCGCUCCUAAUGGAGAAUCCACUGAAUCAGCAGGAGACAGCCCCCCUCCCUCCCGCGGCUUCCGCUGUUUCUAAUGUCUCUGUCUGAACAUUCUUGGCGCUGGUGAGUCUGGCUGUUUCAGUGGUCCCUGGGACCGGCAGGACUCAGACCUGAGGGCCACUGGCCUGUGUCACAGCAGGAGAGCUGUCUGGGGACCUCACCUGCUGUUUCCAGGGUGUCCUUGGCCAAGGCCAUCUCCUGUGGUGUGGGGUGAUAGUCAUGACUUAGCACCAGUAAUUGUCUUUGCGAUGGUAAGGUCACCUCCCAGCUCCUGAGAAGUGCCACUCACUGCUGGGUUUUUGCACCAAAGGAAGAUUAAAGAUUGCAUUUGCAGCUCUUCUGAGGAAGGUCUGUGCAUGCAGUUCUUUAUCUCCGAGUGUCUCGUGCGCCGCUGAUCUUCCUUCUUAGGAUGGACAGUGAGGUCGGGAGUCUCUUGGAGGAGUGGAGAGGUUAGCUGUGACCUGUGGAAGUGGUGGGUUUCCUGAGAUGGAUUGGGUCACAGGUAGAAGAUGUCCCGUCUUCUGCCUCCUCCUGGGAGGGGCUUGCAUGUAGGGCGUUCUUCACAGGGUAGAGUUCAGCUUGUGUUGAUGACGAAGCCUUGCACAGUGCUUCCUCUGUGUCGGACGCUCUGGUGGGGCCUCACGGAGGAGAUGCCGUCCCCCUCACAGUAACCCUGCGAGGGAAGUAGUCUGUCACCCCACUUUACGGAUGGGGAAACUGAGGCGGCAGUGGUCCCGUCGCUGGCCUGGGACUGGAGAGUGGCAUUCCCACGCAGCUCCUGCCCCCUGGCUGCAUGCAGGCUGCCUCUGCGCACAGACUCCCACGGAGCUGGGUUACGGGCGAUGACCCGGUCCUGUUGCCGGCUUGGCCUGCCAGCAGCACGGGACCCUCCUCGACACAUCCUGCGCUCUCGGCUUCUGUGGCAGAGACGGUGCUGCACUUACGAGAGGCUGACACAGUCAGACACCUGCCUCCAGAGUGUGGGCUGCCACCCGAGCGGGGCUCUCCUCGUCUCUGGGGGGCCGGGGGCAGGGUCUCUGAGGGCUUCUGGGAACAUAGGCCUCCUGCCCAAGGCAGUGCCCCAACGGCUGCAGCCCCAGCGCGUGUGGAGCUGGGGGGCUCCCCAGGGACGGUCUGGCCCAGCCACCAGCACUGGGCAGCCUCCACACCAAACCAGGCGCCAGGCACCCCUGAUGGAAGGAAGUGUGUAGUCCCGCCAACACACACACACACCCGGCACUGGUCAGACCCCUGCACCUAACCACCAGCUCACAGGAACCACAGACGAGACCUUCAGAGGCAAAUAGGUAGCGUGGGAGAAUCCUGUUUAGGCUGACUUAAAACAAAAAUGAGGAUCCAGGAAACCGAGCAGUGACUCCCCACUAUGUUACACAGGUAUCAGAGGUUACUUUAAAUUACCAGGAGCUCUUAGCGUGAUACGAGUAUUUUGGUUAGUUGUUUUUAAAGUACCUGUUAGAGAUCUGCUUCAAAACAAUCCACUGGGGAGGGAGGGGCCUAAUGCCAAAAGGGCAGAAACUGGGGGGAAGGUAGGGGGUAAUUACUGCCCCCCGGACUUUCACGCUAACGGCAGUCCCCAGAGUAGAAAAAUAUUUUAAUUAAAUAAAUGGAAUGACCAGGAUGUUGGCGGGUCCCCGUGGUUCACUGACAUGCUGAGAAUGAAGACCACAGUGGUGCUGGACAGUCGCCAGCCAGGGAUGCAGAGUCACCAGCACUGAGGGGAAGGACCCGCCAAGGUGGUCAGGUGGCUGGGGGCUACAGGGACCACCAGCUUCCAGCAGAGCUGGGUGACAGGGAGGUUUCAAAGAUGAGGGGAUACAGAGGCACAAGUAGAAAGACAAGAGACAAAAAGGCAAGGGCAGACCCCUUUCUGCCAUGCGCAGUGCUGCGUGGAGCCUCAGCCAGGUGCUGGCCACCCAGCGUGGGCCACCCGCCUCACGCCCCACCAUCUGGCCCCUCGGUGCCCGGGGCACAGCCCUGCACGCCACGCUGACACCCAGAUCAGAGCCUGCCGCCCUCACGCUCGCCUACACCACCACAUCCCACAGGGUCUCCUGCUGACGCUCAGCUCUCCCCAGCCUCCCUCCUUUCGUCCCCACCCUCCCUCCUUUCGUCCCCACCCCAGUGCCCAAGCUGGGACAUGCCCCUCCCACAGCUCCGGGGUCUCAGCGCCCCACGCCCCGCCCAGCACUGCCCAGUGCCGGCCACCAUGGUGUCGCACCUCCGUGCCUGCCCUGGUCUGUGGGCAGCCCCUACCCCCUACCCACCUGGCCAGCCUCGGCAUCCUUCUGAGCACAAGCCUGGUCACGCCACCCCUGGCUUAAAACCCCUCAUUGGGUCCCACUGCCCCCAAAUAAAGUCCCAGCUCCCAUCACGCCCCACAAACCACACCCGCCCCCUUUCCUACGUCCCUUCUCAUCCGCUCCCACCCUGACCCACACGUUGACCUGAAGGAAGGCUGUGGAGUGCGGUGUGCUGAACUCAGUGCCACUUCCCCAAGGCAGAGACCUACGCACGUGCGUUUCUAAAAAUACCUUAUUUAAAAUAAAUUCUAAAAGCUAAA